UCCAUAAUUGGCAUUCCACGCUCCUCCGAAGACUUAAAUUGAUGUCCAACGCUCCAAAACUAAACAAUGAUUAUGAAAAGCCAUUAAUAUAAAGGAUAAACUUCACAUAUUAAUCUAAUUUAUAUCAAUUUCCUAACCCCGAUCAGAAAAUUAACAAAAACGCCCUCAGGGCCACGUGCCCAGAUUCCGAAAUUUCGAAACUAGAGCAUAACAACAUAUUGGUAAUUCUGAAGGUCUAUUUAAUCAAAGAGAGUCGCUACCUAAUUAUUUUUACAGUGAAUUAUGACACCAAUUUUAGCUAAGUAAUACUUAAAAGUUAACUCUAUUUUUAUGAUAUGCUUAACCUUAACAAUUCUAGGCAAGGAUUCAAAUUAAUCCUAUAGGGAAGGUUGUUAAAGCAUCCUAUAUGAUCCGUUAAAAGCGGUUAACCAGUCAAACUUAGAUUAAUUAAUGACAACAUGUGUGUAUUUAAACAAAUAUUUGUCAAUUGCAUUAAAAAUACGUGUGUAAUAAAGUUAGGAAGAAAGGGGUUUAUAUCUUUAAACAAACAAUUGUUUAAAUUUUGAAGGAAAUAAACUAAUAAUAAAAGAAUAUCCAAAUCUGAAAAUACUCAAGAAAUUAAACCACUACAAAUUAGUCCCUAGAGUGACUUAUAUGGUUUACCUCAUUUAUAAGGAAAAAGCUCCAUUUUAGCAAUAUUGAAACGAGACUAACAAUUAGCUUUUUGAAAGCAUCAAUUUAACAAAGUGACUUCUAAAAAUGUGCUUAAAAUACAGUAAUAAUUUUACUAGGAAAUGUAUACGCUAAUGGUAAAUAUUUGAAGAAAUUACUAAAUUAUUGAUGUUAGAUCCCUUAUUCUAGUUGUCAUGUUUUAUGUGAUAUUAGUACUAAAUCAAAGUGUCUGAAUAAUUAAAUUCAUACACAAAAAUAACAACCCAAAUACACAAACAAUAUCAUACAAGUUAGAAUAAAACGAAUGACCAAAAGAAUUUAAAGGAAGGACGCCAUAGGCGCCCCCAAGCGUAUUGCGUGUUUUUUCUUGCUAUCCGAUGCGUUCUAAGGAAGACGGUAUGUGAUGCGAUGUCUCCGUGUGGUGGUGGUAGCGUUGAGUCUCGAGGGAGACUCCAUUUUUGCUCCAAGUGCGUAUGCAAGACAAAGAAUGGAGAAAACAAUUAGAGGGAAAAUCUUCUGUUCAGCAAAUAAGUAAAGAACUAAAGAAAUGCAGAAUCCAAGUAAUCAAACGUGACUAUGUUAGCAAAUAAACUCACAUUACUGAACCUUCUUCAUGGGGUUCCUAAAGAAUCAUGCUAUCUUUAAUUUUAAACCCAAAAAUUACCUAUCACUACCAACUGUAUGUUAAACACCUUAGUUAUAAUUAUUUAGCUUCUAAUGGGAUAAGUUAUAUUCCAGGGAACCAAUCAAACAUAUAGGAAAGUAUGCUUCUUCUUCAGCAAUUAGGCGUGUAAAUAGAGUACUAGUUUCAAAUAAAGAUAAAGAAGUAAAUAUAAAAAUAUUCUUUAAGUUAUGCCCAUUAAACAAAUUAUAUGCAUCAUCACAAACCCGCUUGAUCAAUUUCACCUUAGGAAUUUAACUAAGCUAAAAGUGAAUUCAAAAGAUCAUACAGAAAUAUAAGCCCAUGAUUCCUAAAGUGUGGACAACAACUAAAUAUUCUUAACACAUGAUUCUUAAUAGGGGCAAAUAACCGAAUGAUAGAGCAAACUAAAUGAUACCAAAGAUUAGCGAGAAGUAUGCUAGAUGUCCAUUCUUUUACACGAGAGUGCAUGAGUCUCAACAUCCAUAUUAUAUUGGUUAGUCAUCUUAGUUUAGAAUGAGGAUUUCUACUGAUAAUAUUUUCAUUCCUCGGACAGCUAGUUAAAAAUAAAAUAAUACACUUCAUGAAAGACGCAAGAUAAAUGGAACACAUAAUCAAGAACUCAUACAACCAAAAUAUAACAUAUCUUAGCUCUACAAAUCAUUUCAAUAAGUCAUUUGUUCAGCUCAUGGUCUCCACGAUUUAUUAAGACUUAAUCUAGAUUUCAAAAAAAUAUUCAAAGAUUGCGUAAUACAUAUCUUAGCUCUACAAAUCAUUUCAAUAAGUCAUUUGUUCAGCUCAUGGUCUCCACGAUUUAUUAAGACUUAAUCUAGAUUUCAAAAAAAUAUUCAAAGAUUGCGUAAUACAUAUCUUAGCUCUACAAAUCAUUUCAAUAAGUCAUUUGUUCAGCUCAUGGUCUCCACGAUUUAUUAAGACUUAAUCUAGAUUUCAAAAAAAUAUUCAAAGAUUGCGUAAUACAUAUCUUAGCUCUACAAAUCAUUUCAAUAAGUCAUUUGUUCAGCUCAUGGUCUCCACGAUUUAUUAAGACUUAAUCUAGAUUUCAAAAAAAUAUUCAAAGAUUGCGUAAUACAUAUCUUAGCUCUACAAAUCAUUUCAAUAAGUCAUUUGUUCAGCUCAUGGUCUCCACGAUUUAUUAAGACUUAAUCUAGAUUUCAAAAAAAUAUUCAAAGAUUGCGUAAUACAUAUCUUAGCUCUACAAAUCAUUUCAAUAAGUCAUUUGUUCAGCUCAUGGUCUCCACGAUUUAUUAAGACUUAAUCUAGAUUUCAAAAAAAUAUUCAAAGAUUGCGUAAUACAUGAUAUCUAGUGUAUGGACAAGAACUAGAAAAUUUUCAACGUAUGAUUUUUAAACAAACGAUGAACAUGGAGCAAUAACAUGAACAUUUUAUGACAUGUUAAACAAAUUUAACGAUGCGAACAGAAACACAUUUUUAUUCUAGAAUCGAAUGAGGAGAAGAGUCACUGACCUUUUGCAGGGCAGUAACUGAGGUGCAGAUCUUAGAAAUACUAUUAAAUUCCGACCUUGAACCCGCUUCUUCAGACAACUAUGAAAGUUGAAGCGAGCAAAUUAACGGAUCUUGCUAUGGCUAAAAGAGAACCAAAUAGAAGCUGGAAGGCCACAAAACAAGAACACUAGAUUUUAGAGAAAAUUGUUUAGGGUAGUGAAAACAAUAAGCUUCUAAGAGAUAGCAGCUGAAGCUUUAGGAUUUUUAGGGGGUAAAGCUGCCACCAAAAAAAAAACCUCCUCCAAAAUAGACACCAAUAAGAUGUAUUUAUAGAGACAAUUUUAGGGCUAGGGAACCAUUGAGCGGGAAUUGGACUAACAGUUUGAACUUUGAACAAAAACCCUUUGAACGUUGGACCAAAUCUUUGAUGCAAGGACCAAAUCUAAAUUCUCUGAAAAGUAAUUUUGUCUCUUUCUCAUGAUCCUCUUGACCGAGCUUUUCUGGGAGAGAAGAACGUUGGAGAGGCGACAAGGAAGAGAAAUGAGUGGGUAUUUUUUUAAAAAAUGGCAUGGACAAGCUAUGUCAAGGCUAAAAGGUACUGAGCAUUUAACAUGAAAAGGGAAGAAGAUGGGAGGCGCGCG
This 3417-nucleotide long non-coding RNA is filed under the name Nicotiana benthamiana. RNAcentral describes it as "long non-coding RNA (NBEN_LNC003556)". Lineage: Eukaryota; Viridiplantae; Streptophyta; Magnoliopsida; Solanales; Solanaceae. The record is from RNAcentral.